This 253-nucleotide ribosomal RNA is filed under the name uncultured bacterium. RNAcentral describes it as "partial 16S ribosomal RNA". It matches the Rfam family "Bacterial small subunit ribosomal RNA", at positions 524 to 776 of the family's 1533-position model. The record is from RNAcentral.
UACGUAGGGGGCAAGCGUUGUCCGGAUUUAUUGGGCGUAAAGAGCGUGUAGGCGGCCUGGAAGGUCAGCUGUGAAAACUCGAGGCUCAACCUCGAGACGUCGGUUGAAACCACCUGGCUAGAGUCCGGAAGAGGAGUGUGGAAUUCCCGGUGUAGCGGUGAAAUGCGCAGAUAUCGAGAGGAACACCUGCGGCGAAGGCGGGUUGCUGGGCUGACACUGACGCUGAUGUGCGAAAGCUAGGGGAGCGAACGGG